GUGUCUCCUUCUUGAUUUCCACCACUCGGGGUUUGUUUCCCUCGAGUUUACCUUGAUUCUCGUUCCUUUUCCGCACUUCGAGCUUUCUGCCCAUUUUUCACCCUCUCGGGGUUGAUUUUUCAGUUGACUUUUCACAUUCUUGCUCGGUUUUUGCACUUCCGGCCAUUUUUGCACUCUCUUCGAGAUAGCAGACGACAUACCACAGGGUGGGGCUCCCCCAGAGAUGGAUGUUGACCCCGAGGUCGAGCGCCUACCUCUCCAUAUCCGUCCGUUCGACCCGGCGACUUACAGGCCGGCUAUACACGUGUUGCCUCCCGACAGACUUCGCCAAUUCAGGAGUUUUGCCAGGGGCGUGCCACCAGAGCUUCUACUGCGUGAGCCAGAGUCACAUCUGUCUUACGGCGCUUCCGAGGUAUACUCUUCCCCGUUUCAUUUUCAAUGUAGAACACAGCUGCAAUAGUCGAUCUUGUUCUUUAAUUGCUUAGCCCGGAUACACCGAUAUACCACAUGUUGUAGUUUACUGCGAGCACACCUAUACUCGGUAUUUGUUUGAAUCUGAAUGCGUGCACACACACUGCACUGAUACAUCAUAUGCUGUAGUUUACUGUGAGCACACCGGCACCCGACAUCUGUUUAACUGGAAACGUGCACACACGCACUGCAUUUUCGCUGGUACUGAGUGCAUUCAACACUGUAUUUGUAACACUGCUUCGCAACUGUCUGUUUUGACCAUAGGGGGAUUCCCAUGCCUUCCGGGGGUAUGGGAACGUCAUGGCCCAGGGGUGGUACAUGGAGCUUCCUGAGGCGGUGCGCUGUAUCGUUGACCAGGCCAGCUUCGGCACUUUCUGCAUGGGGCUCUCACGCCUUACUGCGAGUAGGCCUCUCCUUGCUGCUCUGGUGGAGAGGUGGUGGGACACAAUCGACUCUUUCCAUCUUUCCGCCACCGGGGAGAUGACGAUGACUCCCUUUGACUUCUCCAUGCUCACAGGCAUCGGAGUGGGGGGUGAUCCGAUCCCCUUCGAUACUGACAUAGACGAGUGGGACGUUGCUCAAAUGUACAUGCUCGGCGCUCAGCCACCUCUCGCUCGGGCAGGGUUCGUGCGAUACUCAUGGUUCGAGGACCAUUUUCGGAUCCAAGCGCCCACUACCCAGGAGGAGGAGGAGCAGUACGCUCGUGGCUUUAUCAUGUUUUUGCUAAGGACGACACUUUCCGCCGACCGGGCGAACACCGUGCCCCUUUGCCUGCUGAGUGCACUAGUUGACGUGACCAGGAUUCCCGGCUACAACUAGGGUGGCGCAGGCUUGGCCACACUCUACGACUAUAUGAGUUCAUCCUCCCGCCUCAGCGGACAGCUGCUCGGAGGCUACUGGCGGGCUUGGGAGUUGUGGGUAUACGCCUACUUCCCGAGGCUUGCCCCAGUACCAGAGGAGGAGAUGCCUCCCAUGAUCCCAUUCUCCCACUGCUUUGACGUGAGGUGCGAGCGGAGGCCUCGGGAGUCUUUCAUAUUCUUCCGCCGCUAUUUUGAUACCAUCACCGCGGUAGAGAUACCUGGCAGCCAUGGGCCUCAUUGUCCAUCGCAGUACGGGAGCAGUAUGAGACCUCCCGGUUUAGGAUUUUACUAGAGGGCCCGGUCUGUCGGGCAUGGUACCUGGGCGAGCGCUUCUUGCGGCAGACCUUAGGCGUGCCAGAGCAGACAGUUCCGGAGCUGCCUCCUACGACCAUGAGGCAGACAGAGAUAUACACCCCACAAGAGAUGGCCAUUUAUACGAUCGGUUGGGACUCGGAGGGCUUUAGAGGCGAGGGUGACUAUGCAGAGUACGUCCAGACCUAUAUCAUGCGGCCUCUGGGUAGUGCUCGCCGAGCUGAGAGGGAGAGGCCUGCGGCGCCAGCAGCUGGAGCAGGAUCAGGAGCAGGAGCACCAAGGAUGGCUUGGGCCCAUGGUAGGAGUGGGCCCCGGAGAGGGCAGAGAGCUGGGUGGCCAGCGCUGCCUACGAUGAUGACAUGCAGAGGGCAAGGUGGGGAGACUUAUCAGAUCCCUAUCGCUCCCCCUCCGGCUGAUCAUGAGUUAGUCAAAUUCUAUGACUUGCCCCCGGCUUCCUCCGAGUAUACUCGCCAGUCCCU
Molecule: non-coding RNA, 2122 nt
Organism: Camellia sinensis
Lineage: Eukaryota; Viridiplantae; Streptophyta; Magnoliopsida; Ericales; Theaceae
Source: RefSeq, a predicted model, not a curated record